RNAcentral lists this transfer RNA (68 nucleotides) under Leiobunum townsendi. RNAcentral describes it as "tRNA-Val". The record is from RNAcentral. Lineage: Eukaryota; Metazoa; Arthropoda; Arachnida; Opiliones; Sclerosomatidae.
AUGAGAUGAAGCUUUAAGCCAUUUAUUUACAUUAAAUAGUUCUUUGAUAGUAUGUCAAAGCAUCUUAA